UGUGUCAUGCAGCUGCUAUGGGGGGAUGGAGGAGGAGUUGCAUUGGCAAUUCAAGACUGCCUUUCUUACCCUUUUCAGUGCCUCUUUCAGUGAUACGAAGCUAAAACCAGAUACUGCUUUCAUAGUACUCUUCUGACCAUGGUUUUCUGGAGUUUUUUCGUAUGGAGUUUGUAAGCUUCCUGACAUGGAUUAUAACUGUACUUGAUGGAGCACAGUUAUAAUAGCUGCUUUAGAGUCCUUGAUAAUUCCCACAUCUGAAUCAUCUCGAGAUUUUGAUGGAUGUACAUUGAUGGAUAGCCACAUGGAUCCAGAAAAUAAAGACUUCUACUCUGCAUAUUGACUAAAGCAGAAGAUAUGCAGGGAAGCUCAGUCUCUCAAUUGAGUGGAUUCUGAAAUUUAUCCUGUUGUCUUCAGCUACUAAGGCUAAUUUGCAAAUCACACUGUGUACGGGGUGAAAUAGGAGCACUUGGGAAGCACUGCAAUGAAUUUACUGCUUAUUCAGCAUAUUGAUAGAGUCUUCUCUAAAACAACAAAAAGUGUUGACAGCAAAUUGAAGAUCUUAAAG
This 565-nucleotide long non-coding RNA is filed under the name Pan troglodytes (chimpanzee). RNAcentral describes it as "lincRNA". The record is from RNAcentral. Lineage: Eukaryota; Metazoa; Chordata; Mammalia; Primates; Hominidae.